RNAcentral lists this ribosomal RNA (515 nucleotides) under uncultured bacterium. Its description in RNAcentral is "partial 16S ribosomal RNA". It matches the Rfam family "Bacterial small subunit ribosomal RNA", at positions 29 to 523 of the family's 1533-position model. The record is from RNAcentral.
AACGAACGUUGGCGGCGCGCCUAACACAUGCAAGUCGCACGAGAAAGGGAGCAAUCCCCGGUACAGUGGCGCACGGGUGAGUAACACGUGGAUAAUCUUCCCUUGGGCGGGGGAUAACCUUCCGAAAGGAGGGCUAAUACCGUAUAAGACCACAGCGAGUUCGCUCGCAGGGGUCAAAGCUGGCCUCUUCAUGAAAGCUAGCACCUAAGGAUGAGUCUGCGUCCCAUCAGCUAGUUGGUAGUGUAAAAGACUACCAAGGCGAAGACGGGUAGGUGGACGGAGAGGAAGAUCAGCCACACUGGAACUGUGACACGGUCCAGACUCCUACGGGGGGCAGCAGUGGGGAAUCUGGCGCAAGGGGAGACAGCCUGACGCAGCGACGCCGCGUGGGUGAUGAAGGCCCUCGGGUUGUAAAGCCCUGUGGGGAGGGACGAAUAAGUCGUGGCUAAUAUCCACGAUGAUGACGGUACCUCCUUAGCAAGCACCGGCUAACUCUGUGCCAGCCGCCGCAGUAA